GCCCUUAGAGUUUGAUCAUGGCUCAGGACGAACGCUGGCGGCAGGCUUAACACAUGCAAGUCGCACGAGAACAGGCCUUCGGGCCUUAGUAAAGUGGCGGACGGGUGAGUAACACGUAGACAACCUGCCCCAAAGCGAGGGAUAACUAUCGGAAACGGUAGCUAAUACCGCAUGCAGUCUUUACCGGGCAUCCGGUUUAGAUGAAAGCCUUCGGGCGCUUUGGGAUGGGUCUGCGGAGGAUUAGUUUGUUGGUAGGGUAAAGGCCUACCAAGACUACGAUCCACAGCUGGUCUGAGAGGACGAUCAGCCACACUGGGACUGAGACACGGCCCAGACUCCUACGGGAGGCAGCAGUGGGGAAUCUUGGGCAAUGGGCGAAAGCCUGACCCAGCCAUGCCGCGUGGAGGAAGACACCCCUAUGGGGCGUAAACUCCUUUUGUGCAGGAAGAAGGCCUCGGUCACCGAGGUUUGACGGUACUGCACGAAUAAGCACCGGCUAACUCCGUGCCAGCAGCCGCGGUAAUACGGAGGGUGCAAGCGUUGUCCGGAAUCACUGGGUGUAAAGGGUGUGUAGGCGGGAUUGUAAGUCAGAGGUGAAAUCUUGCGGCUCAACCGUAAAAUUGCCUUUGAUACUGCAGUUCUUGAGUCCCGGAGAGGUUGUUGGAAUUCGUGGUGUAGCGGUGAAAUGCGUA
RNAcentral lists this ribosomal RNA (692 nucleotides) under uncultured Bacteroidota bacterium. RNAcentral's name for it is "bacterial SSU rRNA". It matches the Rfam family "Bacterial small subunit ribosomal RNA", at positions 1 to 692 of the family's 1533-position model. The record is from RNAcentral. Lineage: Bacteria; Pseudomonadati; Bacteroidota.